CAAAUGAAUUGACGGGGCCGCACAAGCGGUGGAGCAUGUGGUUAAUUCGACGCAACGCGAAGAACCUUACCAGGGCUUGACAUCCCCUGACCGCGUAUGAAAGUACGUUUUCACCCUCGGGUGACAGGGAGACAGGUGGUGCAUGGUUGUCGUCAGCUCGUGUCGUGAGAUGUUGGGUUAAGUCCCGCAACGAGCGCAACCCCUACGUUUAGUUGCUAACGCGUGAAGGCGAGCACUCUAGACGAACUGCCGUUGACAAAACGGAGGAAGGUGGGAUGACGUCAAAUCAUCAUGCCCCUUAUGUUCUGGGCUACACACGUGCUACAAUGGCCGGUACAGACGGACGCAAAGCCGCGAGGUGGAGCAAAUCCUAAAAAGCCGGUCUCAGUUCGGAUUGCAGGCUGCAACUCGCCUGCAUGAAGUCGGAAUCGCUAGUAAUCGCAGGUCAGCAUACUGCGGUGAAUACGUUCCCGGGCCUU
This 479-nucleotide ribosomal RNA is filed under the name uncultured Pelotomaculum sp. RNAcentral's name for it is "bacterial SSU rRNA". It matches the Rfam family "Bacterial small subunit ribosomal RNA", at positions 902 to 1382 of the family's 1533-position model. Lineage: Bacteria; Bacillati; Bacillota; Clostridia; Eubacteriales; Desulfotomaculaceae. The record is from RNAcentral.